CCUACGGGUGGCAGCAGUGAGGAAUAUUGGUCAAUGGACGAGAGUCUGAACCAGCCAAGUAGCGUGAAGGAUGACUGCCCUAUGGGUUGUAAACUUCUUUUAUAUGGGAAUAAAACGUUCCACGUGUGGGAUUUUGUAUGUACCAUAUGAAUAAGGAUCGGCUAACUCCGUGCCAGCAGCCGCGGUAAUACGGAGGAUCCGAGCGGUAUCCGGAUUUAUUGGGUUUAAAGGGAGCGUAGGUGGAUUUUUAAGUCAGUUGUGAAAGUUUGCGGCUCAACCGUAAAAUUGCAGUUGAAACUGGCAGUCUUGAGUACAGUAGAGGUGGGCGGAAUUCGUGGUGUAGCGGUGAAAUGCUUAGAUAUCACGAAGAACUCCGAUUGCGAAGGCAGUUCACUGGCCUGCAACUGACACUGAGGCUCGAAAGUGUGGGUAUCAAACAGGAUUAGAUACCCUGGUAGUC
This 460-nucleotide ribosomal RNA is filed under the name uncultured bacterium. RNAcentral describes it as "partial 16S ribosomal RNA". It matches the Rfam family "Bacterial small subunit ribosomal RNA", at positions 338 to 795 of the family's 1533-position model. The record is from RNAcentral.